Non-coding RNA from Caenorhabditis elegans, 21 nucleotides. The record is from Ensembl. NCBI's taxonomy places the organism in Eukaryota, Metazoa, Nematoda, Chromadorea, Rhabditida, Rhabditidae.
UCAUGAUGUAAAAUAUCCAAA